UAGUGGCGAACGGGUGAGUAACACGUGGGCAAUCUGCCCUGCACUCUGGGACAAGCCCUGGAAACGGGGUCUAAUACCGGAUAUUACCUGGUGAGGCAUCUUACCGGGUGGAAAGCUCCGGCGGUGCAGGAUGAGCCCGCGGCCUAUCAGCUUGUUGGUGGGGUGAUGGCCUACCAAGGCGACGACGGGUAGCCGGCCUGAGAGGGCGACCGGCCACACUGGGACUGAGACACGGCCCAGACUCCUACGGGAGGCAGCAGUGGGGAAUAUUGCACAAUGGGCGCAAGCCUGAUGCAGCGACGCCGCGUGAGGGAUGACGGCCUUCGGGUUGUAAACCUCUUUCAGCAGGGAAGAAGCGCAAGUGACGGUACCUGCAGAAGAAGCGCCGGCUAACUACGUGCCAGCAGCCGCGGUAAUACGUAGGGCGCAAGCGUUGUCCGGAAUUAUUGGGCGUAAAGAGCUCGUAGGCGGCUUGUCGCGUCGGAUGUGAAAGCCCGGGGCUUAACCCCGGGUCUGCAUUCGAUACGGGCAGGCUAGAGUUCGGUAGGGGAGAUCGGAAUUCCU
This 564-nucleotide ribosomal RNA is filed under the name Streptomyces sparsogenes subsp. cuspidosporus. RNAcentral's name for it is "bacterial SSU rRNA". It matches the Rfam family "Bacterial small subunit ribosomal RNA", at positions 93 to 671 of the family's 1533-position model. Lineage: Bacteria; Bacillati; Actinomycetota; Actinomycetes; Kitasatosporales; Streptomycetaceae. The record is from RNAcentral.